UGGCGGACGGGUGAGUAACGCGUGGGUAACCUGCCUUGUACUGGGGGACAACAGUUAGAAAUGACUGCUAAUACCGCAUAAGCGCACAGUAUCGCAUGAUACAGUGUGAAAAACUCCGGUGGUACAAGAUGGACCCGCGUCUGAUUAGCUAGUUGGUAAGGUAACGGCUUACCAAGGCGACGAUCAGUAGCCGACCUGAGGGGGUGACCGGCCACAUUGGGACUGAGACACGGCCCAA
Molecule: ribosomal RNA, 238 nt
Filed under: uncultured bacterium
Lineage: Bacteria
Description: partial 16S ribosomal RNA
Rfam family: Bacterial small subunit ribosomal RNA
Source: RNAcentral